AUGUAUAUAUAUAAACUGGAGAGCAAUUGAAAUCUUUACAUUUCUCUGGGAACACCAAAAAAAAAAUUCCAAUUUAUAUAAAGAAAAGCAAAACUUUUGAAUGUUUAGAUCUCACCUCCAUGGCAGUUGGCUCCAAAAUCUCUAUUAAAUUCCUUCAAACUCUCCUUCAGAUCUCACUUCUCUCUUCCCCUUCCAAAUAUAACUUCCACUGUUUCCUGGGAGUGCAGGGAGGCUGGUUAAGCACAUGGGCUUCGGGGCACAUCUUGCUGAGUUUAAAUUUAGUCCUGUCACUGUCUAACUUGGGCAGGUACUUGGCACAUGGUAAGCACUCAAUAAAUGUAAUCCAUUGUUGUUACUGUUAUUAGUACUCUUCAAAUUCUGUUGGCUUCUCCAAUAUUUUUUUUUUCACUUAGCCCACUUUUCCAUCCAUGCAGCAAGGAAAGUGUAUUCAUUUCCCAGGGGUGCCAUAAGAAAUUAUCACAAACUUGGGGGCUUAAAACCACAGAAAUCGAUUUCCCCACAGUUCUGGAGGCCAGAAGUCCAAAAUCAAGGUAGCGGCAGGGCCACGCCCCCUCCAAAGGCUCUCCCGGAGAUUCAGUUCCUCGCCUCCUCCAGCCUCUGAUGGCUUUUAGCAUUCCUCGGGUUGUGGCUGCGUCACUCCAGUCCCUGCCUCUGUCUCCACCUGGCCUUCCCCUGGCCUCUCUUGUCUGUGUCUCUUCCAAAGACCCUGGUCGUCGGAGUUAAGGCCCACCCAGAUAAUCUGGGAUGAUCUCAUUUUGAGAACCCUAACUUAAUUACAUCUGCAAAGACCGUUUUUCCAGAUAAGUUCUUAUUCACAGAUUCUGGGGAAGGGUGGGUGUACAUGGAUAUAUUUGCGGGGGUGCAUUUAUCCCACUACAAAAUGACACUGGGUCCUUCUCCUUGUGGAUGGUGGGUGGGGAGAGGGUGGAACACUCCUGUAAUUCUUUUUUUUUUUUUCCUUUUCUCCUUGUCAUGCUGAAUAUAUUGAGUCAGCAGCCAGCAUCAGGUACCUGGGAAUGAGGAAGGAAAGACAGGCAGAUGGCAGAGGGGCCUGUCAACUUCUCCUUUUCACCCACACUCACGCCACUCUUUCAUUUGCAACCACAGAAUACCUAACUGCAAGAACUGCCGCAUCCCUGGUGGUCUGACCAUGUCUCUGAGCUAAGCAGCAGAUUUCAGCCACAGGGUCUGACUCUCAGGCAGACACAUCCUGUCCAAGGACUGGAGACAGAGCAUCCGUUCUCCCACCCGGAGCGGUCAGCUGCAUGUGGCCGGUUGGGGGCGGUUCAGAAACGUCCCAAGAGAAAUGGAAAUAUGAUGGCUAGUUGAUUGUUUCGCAGUCUGCAUGACAGACCACCCUCCUAACAAGACUCUAGGUCAAGUGCUCUUCUCUGCCCUGUGGAUCUAUUGGGGAGAAAUUAGCUCUCGGUGGUAUUUCCAAUUAUGGAGAAAAGCGAUUCCUCCCUGGUCUGGCUAUCAUGUGUUUUGCAGUGGACCAAGAGACAUGAAGCCUGUUUUCCACCCUCGCCUCUUUCUCCAUCUCGCUGCAUGACCUUGGGAGGUGGCGUGACCUCUCGGCUUCUUUGCUGUCUCAUCUGUCAUGAUCCACCUUUACUACUUCAUAGCCAUGUUCUAGGAUACAUAAGAGAAGCCUCUACAUCUUUUAGUCUCCCAGAAAGAUGUGAACCAGUGAUGAGUUCCAUGAAGACAAAGACCUGCUUAUCUUGUUCUACUCCAGCACCGAGCAGCAACAGCGACGAGGCCCGAGGUGCAGCUGUCUCGCCUCGCCUGUCUUUUGCAGGCACCGGCAUGCACAGAAGAUGGCUGUCCGGGAGGAAGAUUCCUUUCCAUUUUGUUCGCUCCCUGCCUCCGCAAGGCUCCCAGCCACCUCUCGGGAGGGCAGAGCAAGAUCCUGUGCCAGGGGGUAGGAAUCUGUAGCUGCCUCCCAGCCCCAGGGUGGAAAUCAUGACCUUUGAGAAGCAGGCAAGCUGCACGGCAUAGAUACUCAGGCCUGGUGAAGGCAAAGUGGGGCCACACCCUAGAAAAACCACAAAAGUCCCCACAGCCUCUGCUUUCACUAGUCAGACCUGUGGGAAACUUGUAAGACACAGUCCAUGUGAUCGGCGGGUGGGGGCAUGUUGGGAGGGGCCUUCCGAAGGCCACAGCCAGGCUGGCAGGGCAGAGUCCUUUCCAGAAUUUAUCUGUUUGCUUAAAGCCCAGCGGAGGGGCCACCUUCAACCAACCCUCCAGCAUACUGGUCCAAGUAGUUUUUUCAAAGUGCUUUGUGAGACUUUCAAAAGGUACCCAUGGGGAGGGAAGUGAGAGGAGGAGGAGGGGACGGGGAAGAAACAGCUUCUUUAUUUCUAGCCUUGCUUGAAUGGCUUCUUGACGGUUACUGCUCCAGUUUUGCUGAGUCAGAAGAAUCCCACAGCCGCUCACCGGAAACACAGCUGUUGGGCAAAAAUAACCACAGAGCUGAGCAUCAUGCACCUUCCAGAAAAGAUGGCAGGAAACCUCAAAACAAAAGAGAAAUACAAAACAAUAGGAGACACUGUCAAGAGAAAAAAAAAAAAAGCAAAAAAACCACCGCAGCUCACUAACCGAUCCAAGCUGAUGGCGCUCUCCUGAUCUCUCUCCACUCCCAGGCCCAGCAAUGGCUCUGAAAUAAAGCUAAGUUUGGCUGCAUAUA
This is a long non-coding RNA of Nomascus leucogenys (northern white-cheeked gibbon), 2710 nucleotides long. RefSeq lists it as uncharacterized. The record is from RefSeq and is a predicted model, not a curated record. The transcript has 4 exons. Lineage: Eukaryota; Metazoa; Chordata; Mammalia; Primates; Hylobatidae.